AACCUUUACACUGCACGACAGUGCGAUAAGGGAAUCCCAAGUGCGUAGGCAUGGAGCCUACGCUUUUGUCCACCGUAGGGAGGUGGACGAAUAAGGGCUGGGCAAGACCGGUGCCAGCCGCCGCGGUAAUACCGGCAGCCCGAGUGAUGGCCGAUCUUAUUGGGCCUAAAGCGUCCGUAGCUGGCCGCACAAGUCCAUCGGAAAAUCCACCCGCCCAACGGGUGGGCGUCCGGUGGAAACUGUGUGGCUUGGGACCGGAAGGCGCGACGGGUACGUCCGGGGUAGGAGUGAAAUCCCGUAAUCCUGGACGGACCGCCGAUGGCGAAAGCACGUCGCGAGAACGGAUCCGACAGUGAGGGACGAAAGCUAGGGUCUCGAACCGGAUUAGAUACCCGGGUAGUCCUAGCCGUAAACAAUGCCUGCUAGGUGUGGCUCCCACUGCGAGUGGGUGCUGUGCCGUAGGGAAGCCGCUAAGCAGGCCGCCUGGGAAGUACGUCCGCAAGGAUGAAACUUAA
RNAcentral lists this ribosomal RNA (515 nucleotides) under uncultured archaeon. Its description in RNAcentral is "bacterial SSU rRNA". It matches the Rfam family "Archaeal small subunit ribosomal RNA", at positions 345 to 859 of the family's 1478-position model. The record is from RNAcentral.